AAGUCGUAACAAGGUUUCCGUAGGUGAACCUGCGGAAGGAUCAUUAAAGAGAUAGGGUCUUCAUGGCCCGACCUCCAACCCUCUGUUGUUAUUAACUACCCUUGUUUGCUUUGGCGGGGACCUGUCUCGGUCUCCGAGGCGCACUAACCCUCGGGUUGGUGAGCGCCCGCCAGGGUCCCAACCAAAACUCUUGUAUUAAAACCAGUCGUCUGAGUUAAAAAUUUUAAUUAAAAAUUAAAAU
Molecule: unclassified non-coding RNA, 241 nt
Filed under: plant metagenome
Description: partial contains small subunit ribosomal RNA and internal transcribed spacer 1
Rfam family: Eukaryotic small subunit ribosomal RNA (bases 1-46)
Source: RNAcentral